UUUAUGGAGAGUUUGAUCCUGGCUCAGGAUGAACGCUGGCGGCGUGCCUAAUACAUGCAAGUCGAGCGAACGGACGAGAAGCUUGCUUCUCUGAUGUUAGCGGCGGACGGGUGAGUAACACGUGGAUAACCUACCUAUAAGACUGGGAUAACUUCGGGAAACCGGAGCUAAUACCGGAUGAUAUUUUGAACCGCAUGGUUCAAAAGUGAAAGACGGUCUUGCUGUCACUUAUAGAUGGAUCCGCG
RNAcentral lists this ribosomal RNA (245 nucleotides) under Staphylococcus aureus. Its description in RNAcentral is "partial 16S ribosomal RNA". It matches the Rfam family "Bacterial small subunit ribosomal RNA", at positions 1 to 235 of the family's 1533-position model. Lineage: Bacteria; Bacillati; Bacillota; Bacilli; Caryophanales; Staphylococcaceae. The record is from RNAcentral.